GUAACAAGGUCUUCGUUGGUGAACCAGCGGAGGGAUCAUUACUGAGUUUACGCUCUAUAACCCUUUGUGAACAUACCUAUAACUGUUGCUUCGGCGGGUAGGGUCUCCGCGACCCUCCCGGCCUCCCGCCUCCGGGCGGGUCGGCGCCCGCCGGAGGAUAACCAAACUCUGAUUUAACGACGUUUCUUCUGAGUGGUACAAGCAAAUAAUCAAAACUUUUAACAACGGAUCUCUUGGUUCUGGCAUCGAUGAAGAACGCAGCGAAAUGCGAUAAGUAAUGUGAAUUGCAGAAUUCAGUGAAUCAUCGAAUCUUUGAACGCACAUUGCGCCCGCCAGCAUUCUGGCGGGCAUGCCUGUUCGAGCGUCAUUUCAACCCUCAAGCUCUGCUUGGUGUUGGGGCCCUACAGCUGAUGUAGGCCCUCAAAGGUAGUGGCGGACCCUCCCGGAGCCUCCUUUGCGUAGUAACUUUACGUCUCGCACUGGGAUCCGGAGGGACUCUUGCCGUAAAACCCCCCAAUUUUCCAAAGGUUGACCUCGGAUCAGGUAGGAAUACCCGCUGAACUUAAGCAUAUC
RNAcentral lists this ribosomal RNA (573 nucleotides) under Colletotrichum fructicola. Its description in RNAcentral is "eukaryotic LSU rRNA". The stretch from base 214 to 367 matches the Rfam family "5.8S ribosomal RNA". Lineage: Eukaryota; Fungi; Ascomycota; Sordariomycetes; Glomerellales; Glomerellaceae. The record is from RNAcentral.